Molecule: ribosomal RNA, 472 nt
Filed under: uncultured bacterium
Lineage: Bacteria
Description: bacterial SSU rRNA
Rfam family: Bacterial small subunit ribosomal RNA
Source: RNAcentral
UGCAGUCGAACGGCAGCACGGAGCUUGCUCUGGUGGCGAGUGGCGAACGGGUGAGUAAUAUAUCGGAACGUACCCUAGAGUGGGGGAUAACGUAGCGAAAGUUACGCUAAUACCGCAUACGAUCUAAGGAUGAAAGUGGGGGAUCGCAAGACCUCAUGCUCGUGGAGCGGCCGAUAUCUGAUUAGCUAGUUGGUAGGGUAAAAGCCUACCAAGGCAUCGAUCAGUAGCUGGUCUGAGAGGACGACCAGCCACACUGGAACUGAGACACGGUCCAGACUCCUACGGGAGGCAGCAGUGGGGAAUUUUGGACAAUGGGCGAAAGCCUGAUCCAGCAAUGCCGCGUGAGUGAAGAAGGCCUUCGGGUUGUAAAGCUCUUUUGUCAGGGAAGAAACGGUGGGAGCUAAUAUCUCUUGCUAAUGACGGUACCUGAAGAAUAAGCACCGGCUAACUACGUGCCAGCAGCCGCGGUAAU